Acanthochromis polyacanthus (spiny chromis) is the source of this 203-nucleotide long non-coding RNA. RefSeq lists it as uncharacterized. NCBI's taxonomy places the organism in Eukaryota, Metazoa, Chordata, Actinopteri, Pomacentridae. The transcript has 2 exons. The record is from RefSeq and is a predicted model, not a curated record.
UGAACUUCACUAAAUUUGAGUAUUUUCUUUCCCCUCUGCUUACUGCUCACAUAACCUAAAGAGUCAUCGCCUACUUCAGAUCACAGAUCAAGGCUUUAUGGAACACAGUGCCGAUCAGCAACUUUCCACCAUAGGUGGUUGCUACAGAGGAGCCGAUGAGCACCUGACCAUCGUCUUCAUACACCUGAGUCACCUGCGGCUUA